This 6759-nucleotide long non-coding RNA is filed under the name Zea mays. RNAcentral describes it as "long non-coding RNA (ZMAY_LNC005639)". The record is from RNAcentral. Lineage: Eukaryota; Viridiplantae; Streptophyta; Magnoliopsida; Poales; Poaceae.
CGAUCGACAUCCUCGGCCGAGUUUUCCCGUGGCGGUUCCGUUCGUAUGCGCGGUCGUCUCCUUCCGAGGAGGAUGAAGAGGUAACUGCUCUGUGAUUCGAUCUGCAGGAUUCUAUGCGUAGAAUUCCAUGUGGCCUUCUGUGUGGUAGGUGGUCGACCAAUGAGACCGUGACACAUCGGCUAUAAUCCGCAAAAGAUUACUUAUUCAAUAUAAUUCACAUUGUAAAUCCGUUUUGACCCGUUACAGAUUUCAUUAGUUUCGUAAUGAAAUUGUCUAUGUGUUAGUAAUAUUACUUUGCUGCAACGUGCGUUUUAUAUAAUUAAUAAAUUAUUUGUUCAUCCAUUAGUUAUUAAAAAUUCACCAGCCAAUUAAAAACUAAUCUAUAGUUUAAAUCUGCGCAUUUGUAUAUGAUUAUUCUGAUCGAAGUGCUUUUGAAUUAAUAUGUUUAAUAUACACAUGAUAUUUGUUAGUGAUCCCUGCACGUCGCGUGCGCUGUCGCACGCGUUGUUUCGCGUGCCAUCCACACGUUGUUUCGCGCAUUGCAGCAUGCUGAUUCGCACGCAGUUCGCGCAUUGUCGCGCACAUUAUUUCGUCAGUCAGUCGCAUGCUGUUUGCGCGUCACCAUUGUUCGAUCGUGCGUUCGCGCUGCGUGUCUGGUGCGCGCGAUGUCGCGUGCUGUUCGCUCACAUCGUCACGCGCUAUUUGCUCGUGGUCACACGUGGUCGUGCGCGCUUUCCGUGUGCUCCUUCACACGUGACGCGCGCGCUGUUCCCACGUGUGACGAUCGUUGUCGUCGUGUCGCAUAUUUUAGUUGAAUAACCAAUUAUUAGUUUGUUCGAAGGUUAAUAAAAUAACAAUCUAAUUAGAACGAGUCUAUAGCUUUAACUCGUGCUUUUACAAGGAUAAAUGUUAAUUAAUGUGAUUAAUACCAACUGAAAUACUUUUCGUUAAUUAUUUGUUUGUUGUUCGCGCGCGACAUCGUUUGCGCGUUAUCGUGCUGUUCGUGCGCGUAGACGUGUUGACUCGCACGUGUCGCGCGCUGCCAUGCACGUUGUUUCGCAUGUCGCCGUGCUGCUUCGCGAGCGUCGUCGCGUGUGCUGUUCGCACACGUUGUCGCGCACCGUUCGCGUGUGUCGCGCGGCGUCUGCGCGUGAUAAUAAAUAGUUUGUCGCUUAUAAGCACUCAUGUUAAUAACGUUAGUUCGUCAGAUCGCAUAUUUUAGAUAAUUAACUUAAAGUUUGCUCGACUAAUAUUUACUAGAUUAAUAUUUCAAUCAGAUUAAAUAUGUAGUGUUCAACUUGGGCUUUUAUAAUAAACAUUGACAUGACAAAUAUCAAGUUAACUACUAUUUAUAUAUUUAAUAUUUGUUUAGUACAAAUGCGUCACCUGUUUAGUUUUUCGCCUGUCGCGCGUGUUGUUCCGCACGUGGUAACGUGCUGGUCCACGCGUCGUUCGCGCCGGUCGUCCGCCCUGUCCCGUGCGUCGUUCGCGUGCUAUGUCGCGUGUGUCCACUCGUCGUCUGCACGCUGUCGUAUUGUUUCGUGCGUCGUAAUUCGCCUCGCUUAGAACCUCUCGUGCUAAUUAUAUUAGUUAUUUGUUGGAUAGCUACUAGUGUGGUAGAUUUAAUCAAAACUAUAUAGCGGCUAUAAGUUAUACUUGAUAUUGUCAAGUUAAAUGUUAUGGUUAAUACUUGUUUAGCGUUAACGCGCUAACUUCUCAGCUGUAGCUUCGAGUUCGAUGUUUCUUUCCCUCGCGUGAUCGUAGAAUCGAGCUCUAGUUGAUGCUGCAUGUUUUUAUAACAUUUUAUCUUGUAUGGUGUAAUGUUCUUAUGCAUAUGUAUAUGUUUGUUUGCUUGUGCCGGUUUGUCUUCGCUUCGCGUUGCGACUAGAUCGUGAUUCGUUUCCAAACUUCGAGGAAUCGAUGAUCAAGCGCUGGCGACCAAGUGAUCUGGCUCUUCGAGUUCUACAAGAUUGAAGACCCUGACCAUCUGUUUGGUGAAGGCAAGUGUCCUUUGACCUAUUAUGUCCCAUUUACUUUAUAAUUCAUCAACCCGCAUACCAUGAUCAACCUAAGGAUUGACUAGCUUUGUAUUUACCUUGUCCUUGCUUACCUUUUGGGUUAUUAUGGUUAGCAUUUUGCUAUUGCCUUAACUUAAUCAAUGAACAUGAUGUGACUAUUUAUGAUACGAUACUGUUAUCCUGAUUAUGCUGUUGAUCUUGUGAUACUCUAGGGGGCUCAGGCUGUUUCCUGAGUACCUCUCCGUAAGGACCUGUUCGUUGAGAGACCACCCGGGAUAACAGUGCAACCAUGAGGGUGGAAUGGGGUGCCCUUAGCUAAUUAAUUAGAGGAACUAGAGGUGUAGUUGCUUCGCCGUCGUGCCGUCAAUGGGGUCCAGGCACAGUGCUUGCUCUGCCGAGGCUGGGUGCCGAGGUUCUUUCGUUUUGCUUUUGUUAGUCACCCCCCUUCGGGGAGAGGUACUGUGUUUAUCAAACUGGAGAAACCUAACGGGCGGCUAUGACCUCUAGGGAAUCUUUGUAAAAGCUACGUAGUGAUACCCUGCCGGACCACCUAGGAAGUGAUCAAUGGGGAGUCAUGAUCCCCGGGCAAAACGGGAAUCACGGCUCAUGGGUAAAGUGUACGACCUCUGCAGAGUGUUAUGAAACUGAUAUAUCAGUCGUGCUCACGGUUAUGAGCGGCCUUGGGAUCCUCUUUGAUUAGAGAUACAGAUGGUUCAAUAUACAAUGAUUCUAUUGAUGGUUUUGGUUCGAUGAUGAUAAUGAUGUUUCCUCGAUGAGGAAAUGGUUCACGGGUUGGUUAUUACUAAAACUUGGCUUCCACUGAUAAUAAAUAUCUGACCAACUAAAAGUAACUGCUUGAGCUUAACCCCACAUAAAGCUAGUCCACCUCAGCCAAACGGGACAUUUGCUGAGUACGUUGAUGUGUACUCACCCUUGCUUUCACAAAACACCAGGUUGCCUUUGGUGCAAUCUAUGCUCAGGUAAAGAAGAAGGCGUCGAGGUGGAUCUCCAGGAGUUCCAGGAUGUUGAUGAGUUCGAGGAUUAGGCUAACGAUCUCCCCCAGUCAGCUGCCUGUGGUGGGUUGUUUACGUUGGCUACGUUUCGAUUCUGCGUACUUUGAUUUAUAUUAUGUAAAUGACUCUAGUCUGUAAUAUUAUUACUUACUCUUUAUUGUAAUUCGAAGCAUUGUGCUAUGAUGAGUCAUUUAUGUAAUCGCUGUGUACGUGAAUUACUGAUCCUGGCACGUACAUGGUUCGCAUUCGCUUUACCUUCCAAAACCGGGUGUGACAAACCGCUUGCCCCGUCGCAUUAACUCCGCGGCGGGACAAGCGGCGCCUCUGGCAAGGGAAGCGAGCGACGCUUCGCCUUCGCCAUAAUGACCGUGUCAAAAAAGGUACGCCACGUCAUAACUGUCGGGGACCAUAAUUAGGGGUACCCUCAAGACUCCUAAUUCUCAGCUGGUAACCCCCAUCAGCACAAAGCUGCAAAGGCCUGAUGGGUGCGAUUAAGUCAGGAUCGGUCCAUUCGAGGGACUCGAUCACGCCUCGCCCGAUCCUAGCCUCGGGCAAGGGCAGCCGACCCCGGAGGAUCUCCGUCUCGCCCGAGGCCCCCCUCCAGCGACGAACAUACUUCCGGCUCGCCCGAGGCCCUGUCUUCGCCAAGAAGCAACCCUGACCAAAUCGCCGCGCCAACCGACCAAAUCGCAGGAGCAUUUAAUGCAAAGGUGGCCUGACACCUUUAUCCUGACGCGCGCCCUUCAGUCGACAGAGCCGAAGUGACCGCAGUCACUUCGCCGCUCCACUGACCGGCCUAACAGAAGGACAGCGCCGCCUGCGCCGCACCGACUGCUUUGCCACUCGACAGAGUGAGGCUGACAUGCAGUCAGUCCCGGCCUCACGCACCAUAGGAAGCUCUGCUUCGCCCGACCUAGGGCUCGGACUUGGGCUCAGCCUCAGAAGACGGCGAACUCCGCUCCGCCCUAUCCAGGGAGCGGACUUGGGCUCAGCCCCGGAAGACGGCGAACUCCGCUCCGCCCGACCCAGGGCUCGGACUCGGGCUAAGCCCCGGAAGACGGCGAACUCCGCUCCGCCCGACCCAGGGCUCGGACUCGGGCUAAGCCCCGGAAGACGGCGAACUCCGCUCCGCCCGACCCAGGGCUCGGACUCGGGCUAAUCCCCGGAAGACGGCGAACUCUGCUCCGCCCGACCCAGGGCUCGGACUCGGGCUCAGCCCCUGAAGACGACGAACUCCGCUUCGCCCGACCCCAGGCUUGGACUCAGCCCUGGCCUCAGCCGACGGUCUCCGCCUCGCCCGACCCAGGGGCUCAGACUCGACCUCGGAGGAGCCUCCACAUCACCCAACCUAGGGCGCGGACCGGCCACGUCAACAAGAGGCGCCAUCAUUACCCUACCCCAAGCUGACUCAGGCUACGGGAAACAAGACCGGCGUCCCAUCUGGCUCGCUCCGCCAGACAAAGUAAUGAUGGCGCCCCGCACGCUCUAUGAAGAUGGCGGCUCUCAGCCCCCUUACGGAAGCAAGAGGACGUCAGCAAGGACUCGACAGCCCCGACAGCUGUCCUUCCGCCAGGCUUCAGCGCUCCUCCGACGGCCACGACACCACACGAACCGGGUGCCAAAACCUCUCCGGCUGCCACGAUGGCAUGUACUUAGGGCGCUAGCUCUCCUCCGCUAGACACGUUAGCACUCUGCUACACCCCCAUUGUACACCUGGAUCCUCUCCUUACGCCUAUAAAAGGAAGGACCAGGGCCCUCUUACAGAGGGUUGGCCGCGCGGGGACGAGGACGAGACAGGCGCUCGCGUGAGGCCGCUCGCUCCCUCUCCCGCGUGGACGCUUGUAACCCCCUACUGCAAGCGCACCCGACCUGGGCGCGGGACGAACACGAAGGCCGCGGGAUUUCCACCUCUCUCACGCCCGUCUCCGGCUGCCUUUUUCCCCCCUUCGCGCUCGGCCUCGCGCCGACCCAUCUGGGCUGGGGCACGCAACGACAUUUCACUCGUCGGCCCAGGGACCCCCCGGUCUCGAAACGCCGACAAAAAUAUUUUAAAUUAAAAUGAGUAAAUCGGUAAUACGGACUUAUCGGCCACAAUUGAUUAUCAAUUAAUUAGCUGAUUAGCCGGAUUAAUCGGCUCUGUGACCAUGGGCAAAAGUAAACCAGAAUAAUUACAGAACUUGGAAGAUCCCAUGUUAGAAUGUUCGAGGCGUGUAAUCAAGAAGAGGAUGGUAAACAAUUAAGACUUGUUCGUUUUAACCCCAAUCCAUAUGGAUUGAGAGGAAUUGAGGGGGGUUUCAAUCUCUAAUAAGUCAGAAUAUCUCCCAAUCCAUUUCAAUCCCCUCCAAUUCAUAUGGAAUGAAAAUAACCGAACAAGCCUUAAGAAGUCAUUGGUUCUAGCAUUUAACGACGGGAUCUGUUCACAACACGAACAGAUAGGGAUGAUUUCUGCUCGCUUCACCAUCAACAAUACCAGGGUAACCAGUCAUGUUACUCAUGUACUUCAGAUUGAUUACGCCCGGUUUGAGCGGCAACAUAUGACACUCGCAUUGAGAUUGUUACUAUAGGUGAACCAAACAAAACAUUAAUAGGGUGCUUGCUGUUUGGUUUGAGAUAUGAGAUAGUGAAAGUCACCUUAUAAACUUUAAGCACAAUCUACAAGCCGGGUUAGCGUUAGAAAUAUAGUCGAGUCCGAAAGAGAGGGCGAAAACAAAUCACAAGCAAAUAAGAGCGGAUGACACGGUAAUUUGUUUUACCGAGGUUCGGUUCUUGCAAACCUACUCCCCGUUGAGGGCUUGUUCGGUUACACCAAUUCAGAAGGGGAUUGGAGAGGUUUAAAUCCCCUCAUAGUCAUUUUUGACUACGAGAGGAUUUAAUCCCCUUCUGGAUUGGUGUAACCAAACAUGCCCUGAGGUGGUCACAAAGACCGGGUCUCUUUCAACCCUUUCCCUCUCUCUACCGAUCACUAAGACCGGUGAGCUUUUCUCCUCAAUCAAUUGGGUCACUUAGACCCCACAGGGACCACCACAACUUGGUGUCUCUUGCUUUGAUUACAAGGUUGUUGAGAACAAGAAAUGGGGAAGAAGAAAAGCGAUCCAAGUGCAAAAGCUCAAAAGAACACGGCAAAACUCUCUUUUCUAGUCACUAAUGCUUUGAGUGGAAUUUGGGACUUUGAGAGAUUUUGAUUCACUCUAACUGUGUCUUGUAUUGAAUGCACUAGCUCUUGUAUUGAAUGUGUUGGCUGAAAACUUGGAUGUCUUGAAGUGUGGUGGUUGGGGGGUAUUUAUAGCCCCAACCACCAAUAUGGCCGUUGGGGAAGGCUUCUGUCGACGGGCGCACCGGACAGUCCGGUGCGCCACCGGACACUGUCCGGUGCGCCAGCCACGUCACCCAACCGUUAGGGUUCGACCGUUGGAGCUCUGACAAGUGGGGCCACCGGACAGUCUGGCGGUGUACUGGACAGUCAUUGUUCACUGUCCGGUGCGCCAUCUGGCGUCUGCUCUAACUCUGCGCGCGCAGUCCGCACUGUUCACUGUUCGCUAUUGCUUUUGCAGACGACCGUUGGCGCUGUUAGCCGUUGCUCCGCAUGGCACACCGGACAGUCCGAGAGGCUCCCCGAAUUCCCGAAGCUGAGGAGUUUGAGCUUUGAUUGUCUUUUGCUCUUUUUAUUUGAACUCUUUCUUGGACUUUUUAUUGGUUUGUGUUGAACCUUUGGCAUCUGUAAAACUUAU